GACAGCAGUAGCCGCGGUAAUACGUAGGUGGCAAGCGUUGUCCGGAAUUAUUGGGCGUAAAGGGCUCGCAGGCGGUUUCUUAAGUCUGAUGUGAAAGCCCCCGGCUCAACCGGGGAGGGUCAUUGGAAACUGGGAAACUUGAGUGCAGAAGAGGAGAGUGGAAUUCCACGUGUAGCGGUGAAAUGCGUAGAGAUGUGGAGGAACACCAGUGGCGAAGGCGACUCUCUGGUCUGUAACUGACGCUGAGGAGCGAAAGCGUGGGGAGCGAACAGGAUUAGAUACCCCUGUAGUCCCUGUCUCUUACAC
RNAcentral lists this ribosomal RNA (306 nucleotides) under uncultured bacterium. RNAcentral describes it as "partial 16S ribosomal RNA". It matches the Rfam family "Bacterial small subunit ribosomal RNA", at positions 507 to 809 of the family's 1533-position model. The record is from RNAcentral.